GAACGGGUGAGUAACACGUGGGCAAUCUGCCCUUCACUCUGGGACAAGCCCUGGAAACGGGGUCUAAUACCGGAUAUCACUCCUGCAGGCAUCUGCGGGGGUCGAAAGCUCCGGCGGUGAAGGAUGAGCCCGCGGCCUAUCAGCUUGUUGGUGAGGUAGUGGCUCACCAAGGCGACGACGGGUAGCCGGCCUGAGAGGGCGACCGGCCACACUGGGACUGAGACACGGCCCAGACUCCUACGGGAGGCAGCAGUGGGGAAUAUUGCACAAUGGGCGAAAGCCUGAUGCAGCGACGCCGCGUGAGGGAUGACGGCCUUCGGGUUGUAAACCUCUUUCAGCAGGGAAGAAGCGAAAGUGACGGUACCUGCAGAAGAAGCGCCGGCUAACUACGUGCCAGCAGCCGCGGUAAUACGUAGGGCGCAAGCGUUGUCCGGAAUUAUUGGGCGUAAAGAGCUCGUAGGCGGCUUGUCACGUCGGGUGUGAAAGCCCGGGGCUUAACCCCGGGUCUGCAUUCGAUACGGGCAGGCUAGAGUGUGGUAGGGGAGAUCGGAAUUCCUGGUGUAGCGGUGAAAUGCGCAGAUAUCAGGAGGAACACCGGUGGCGAAGGCGGAUCUCUGGGCCAUUACUGACGCUGAGGAGCGAAA
This 644-nucleotide ribosomal RNA is filed under the name Streptomyces sp. RNAcentral describes it as "bacterial SSU rRNA". It matches the Rfam family "Bacterial small subunit ribosomal RNA", at positions 100 to 758 of the family's 1533-position model. Lineage: Bacteria; Bacillati; Actinomycetota; Actinomycetes; Kitasatosporales; Streptomycetaceae. RNAcentral also lists the same sequence under 2 other names. The record is from RNAcentral.